Molecule: ribosomal RNA, 713 nt
Filed under: Daldinia eschscholtzii
Lineage: Eukaryota; Fungi; Ascomycota; Sordariomycetes; Xylariales; Hypoxylaceae
Description: partial large subunit ribosomal RNA
Rfam family: Eukaryotic large subunit ribosomal RNA
Source: RNAcentral
UGAAGGAAUGCCCAAGUUAGGCGGGUGAAGCGGCCUAGCUCAAUUUGAAAUCUGGCCCUAGCGGUCCGAGUUGUAAUUUGUAGAGGAUGCUUUUGGUGAGGUGCCUUCCGAGUUCCCUGGAACGGGACGCCGGAGAGGGUGAGAGCCCCGUACGGUUGGACGCCAAACCUCUGUAUAGCUCCUUCGACGAGUCGAGUAGUUUGGGAAUGCUGCUCUAAAUGGGAGGUAAAUUUCUUCUAAAGCUAAAUACCGGCCAGAGACCGAUAGCGCACAAGUAGAGUGAUCGAAAGAUGAAAAGCACUUUGAAAAGAGGGUUAAAUAGCACGUGAAAUUGUUGAAAGGGAAGCGUUUGCGACCAGACUUUUUCCAGGCGGAUCAUCCGGCGUUCUCGCCGGUGCACUCCGCCUGGUUGAGGCCAGCAUCGGUUUCCUUAGGGGGAUAAAGGCCUGGGGAACGUAGCUCCUUCGGGAGUGUUAUAGCCCCUGGCGUAAUACCCCUCGGGGGACCGAGGAACGCGCUCUGCAAGGAUGCUGGCGUAAUGGUCGUCAACGACCCGUCUUGAAGCACGGACCAAGGAGUCGAACAUUUGUGCGAGUGUUUGGGUGUCGCACCCUCACGCGUAAUGAAAGUGAACGGAGGUGAGAGCCCUUACGGGUGCAUCAUCGACCGAUCCUGAUGUCUUCGGAUGGAUUUAAUUAAGAGGAUAACUGUUC